GCUUAGUGCAAAGCCUCCGUGUGCCCACAGAGGUGUGGUAUUUUAUUACCUUGCUGUGAAGCAGAAGAAACUACAUUUUAAAAGUUGGGAAAAAGAGAACUGUGCGGCUCAGUGCAGAGCUCAGGGGAGAGUCCUCCGUCCACCUGAGUGCAAACAAAGUGGCUUAAUCUGAACAAAACAUUUCACGGGGCUGCAGCCAAUUAAUGAUGCAAUCGGCACAAUUUCAUCUUAAUCCAAAAAGCGUUUCAAUGAGAGAGGCAGACUUUCUGAAAAUGCCUUUGCCCGGCUCUGGGAAUGGUGUUAUUGGCACGUUACCAUUAGGAUGUAAUAAUCCUGAGUUUCCAGCUCUGUACAGCUGCCGUUUCUCUCAAAGACCUUUGAACCUUUCUGUUCAAAAGGCAAAGAUUCAACCAGCAUGAAAAGUCCUCCCACAAAUUCUCCUUACUUUACUUCCUGGAGCUCUUGGGGAAAAGAAGAAAGAGCAGAUUGGAUGGGGUGUGGUGAUGUUUUUGGCUUUGUGGAACUGGGAUGUUUGGCGCCUUUCAUUGCUGGUGUGGGAGCGUUUUUGGCGCUGCUGCGCCCGUGCCGCUGCUGCGCCGUGUGCGGGACCAGAGCUCUAACGUGUGUGCAGGACAGGACAGGGCCCUGCACGCCCGUCAGAGCACACGCGUGUGCCUCGGUGCUGCAGAACCACGGAGUGGGAGCCAGAGUCCCACCGGCACCUCUGCAAGAAAAUGAAACCCAUGCUUUCUGUUCUACUAAAGACCAAAUAUCUGAUUAUCCGUGCAAAAACUGCUGCCAGGCAAGCUCAGACCCCGAGAACUGGGCCACUCAAGAGGAUUCGCCGUGCGGUGCGGAAUUCUGGAAAAGCACGUCACGCCAGCGUGGACAGACAGAGCCCGGCUGACAGAUGGACACGUCCCCCAGCCACCCAGAGCUUGGGGCGGACAAGCCGUGAGUCAGCAGGGCAGCCCGCGAAGGGCCCUGGCUGCUCUUUUGCUGUUGUUCUGCCUGCGGAGAUGCCGAGCGAGGGGCACGUCCCACGAGUGGUUCACCAUCCCCACCUACACCGCGUCCAGGCCCCCUGUGACCGCGCUCCUCUCCGCUGCAAUCAGUGUAUGUGUGUGUGUGUGCAAAGGUGCUCAGGAAGGGGAGCAGACAAAGGCUCCAAAAGCUUUGUUUAAAGCUCCACUUCUUGCGAGCUGCCCACCCCACGCAUGCGGAAAAUAUCCGCACUUUGUAACGCCAGCAAGGGAAAUAAAACCCGCGAAGCAAAGCCUGAA
This is a long non-coding RNA of Columba livia (rock pigeon), 1283 nucleotides long. RefSeq lists it as uncharacterized. The transcript is spliced from 3 exons. The record is from RefSeq and is a predicted model, not a curated record. Lineage: Eukaryota; Metazoa; Chordata; Aves; Columbiformes; Columbidae.